UACGUAGGUGGCAAGCGUUGUCCGGAAUUAUUGGGCGUAAAGCGCGCGCAGGCGGUCCUUUAAGUCUGAUGUGAAAGCCCACGGCUCAACCGUGGAGGGUCAUUGGAAACUGGGGGACUUGAGUACAGAAGAGAAGAGUGGAAUUCCACGCGUAGCGGUGAAAUGCGUAGAUAUCUGGAGGAACACCGGUGGCGAAGGCGGCAUCCUGGACCGGCAUUGACGCUGAGGAGCGAAAGCCAGGGGAGCAAACGGG
Molecule: ribosomal RNA, 253 nt
Filed under: uncultured bacterium
Lineage: Bacteria
Description: partial 16S ribosomal RNA
Rfam family: Bacterial small subunit ribosomal RNA
Source: RNAcentral